GAGCACGUUUCGGUUUAUGCUGAAAAACAGGUCCUGUUUGCAAAACUCCGAUUCAGCAGGAUUCCCUGUGGUCGUGUGGACCAAGGCUACAGAAACUGAGAUGCUCCAGAACAAGAAAAGGCAAAGAUAACUUGGUCUUUCAUGCCUGAAACGAGGAGGAGGAGACCAGCUCCUGCAAACACUGGCCUUCAGCACUUCUCCCUUGCCCCUCCUGAGGCAGCUAAAAGAUAUUUCCUG
This 237-nucleotide long non-coding RNA is filed under the name Dromaius novaehollandiae (emu). RNAcentral describes it as "lncRNA (ENSDNVG00000003389.1)". Lineage: Eukaryota; Metazoa; Chordata; Aves; Casuariiformes; Dromaiidae. The record is from RNAcentral.